AUGCCUUGCACGCUGCAGCGUUGUGAUUUUUUAUUACUGCAGGUGCUAAAUAAAUCCUCAGUGAUGGAGCCCGGAGCCAAACACAUUUAUCCUUGUCACCUCUCCAAUUCUGUGCAGCUGGAAUGGAGCCCAAGGCUCAGGAGAUGCAAUAAAUCUGCUCUCUGGGCUCCACCCGUUUCUCCACCAAGCAGAUGUGGUCGCCGGGAGCCAAGGCUGGAGGAAUGGACUGAGGCCCUCCACCUCUCAAGCCAAGUGUGACCACAAGCUCAAGACAGCAGUUUUGUUGCUGCCUCCACCCCCUGCAGUGGAUCCCUGGAUUGAGAAGAUCCCCUGGAAAAGGGAAAGACUACCUACUCCAGUAUUCUGGCCUGGAGAAUUCCAUGGACUAUACAGUCCAUGAGGUCACAAAGAGUCGGACAUGACUGAGUGACUUUCACUUCACUUGGGAACCAAUAUUAGCUUUAGAGGCUUCCCUGGUGACUCAGAGGAUAAAGCAUCUGCCUGCAAUGCUAGAGACCUGGGUUCAAUCCCUGGGUUGGGAAGAUCCCCUGGAUAAAGAAA
Molecule: long non-coding RNA, 561 nt
Filed under: Bos grunniens (domestic yak)
Lineage: Eukaryota; Metazoa; Chordata; Mammalia; Artiodactyla; Bovidae
Description: lncRNA (ENSBGRG00000012568.1)
Source: RNAcentral